AGAGUUUGAUCCUGGCUCAGGACGAACGCUGGCGGCGUGCCUAAUACAUGCAAGUAGAACGCUGAAGAGAGGAGCUUGCUCUUCUUGGAUGAGUUGCGAACGGGUGAGUAACGCGUAGGUAACCUGCCUGGUAGCGGGGGAUAACUAUUGGAAACGAUAGCUAAUACCGCAUAAAAUUGAUUAUUGCAUGAUAAUUAAUUGAAAGAUGCAAUUGCAUCACUACCAGAUGGACCUGCGUUGUAUUAGCUAGUUGGUGAGGUAACGGCUCACCAAGGCGACGAUACAUAGCCGACCUGAGAGGGUGAUCGGCCACACUGGGACUGAGACACGGCCCAGACUCCUACGGGAGGCAGCAGUAGGGAAUCUUCGGCAAUGGGGGGAACCCUGACCGAGCAACGCCGCGUGAGUGAAGAAGGUUUUCGGAUCGUAAAGCUCUGUUGUAAGAGAAGAACGGGUGUGAGAGUGGAAAGUUCACACUGUGACGGUAUCUUACCAGAAAGGGACGGCUAACUACGUGCCAGCAGCCGCGGUAAUACGUAGGUCCCGAGCGUUGUCCGGAUUUAUUGGGCGUAAAGCGAGCGCAGGCGGUUAGAUAAGUCUGAAGUUAAAGGCUGUGGCUUAACCAUAGUAUGCUUUGGAAACUGUUUAACUUGAGUGCAGAAGGGGAGAGUGGAAUUCCAUGUGUAGCGGUGAAAUGCGUAGAUAUAUGGAGGAACACCGGUGGCGAAAGCGGCUCUCUGGUCUGUAACUGACGCUGAGGCUCGAAAGCGUGGGGAGCAAACAGGAUUAGAUACCCUGGUAGUCCACGCCGUAAACGAUGAGUGCUAGGUGUUAGGCCCUUUCCGGGGCUUAGUGCCGCAGCUAACGCAUUAAGCACUCCGCCUGGGGAGUACGACCGCAAGGUUGAAACUCAAAGGAAUUGACGGGGGCCCGCACAAGCGGUGG
This 945-nucleotide ribosomal RNA is filed under the name Streptococcus pneumoniae. RNAcentral's name for it is "bacterial SSU rRNA". It matches the Rfam family "Bacterial small subunit ribosomal RNA", at positions 8 to 935 of the family's 1533-position model. Lineage: Bacteria; Bacillati; Bacillota; Bacilli; Lactobacillales; Streptococcaceae. The record is from RNAcentral.